GGCCGUCUGGCGAAAUGGAAUCGCGUCCGAUUAUGAUGUGGGAAAAGUUAGUCCAAAUGUAAUCAGGAGAUUGCAGGUUCGACUCCUGCGAUGGUCA
Marasmius oreades (fairy-ring Marasmius) is the source of this 97-nucleotide non-coding RNA. Lineage: Eukaryota; Fungi; Basidiomycota; Agaricomycetes; Agaricales; Marasmiaceae. The record is from the annotation of a RefSeq genome assembly.